Molecule: non-coding RNA, 72 nt
Organism: Bombyx mori (domestic silkworm)
Lineage: Eukaryota; Metazoa; Arthropoda; Insecta; Lepidoptera; Bombycidae
Source: Rfam
CACGCCCAUUGUACUUCAUCAGGUGCUCUGGUGAUCAUAGUUCCAGGCGCUUGUUGGAGUACACUUACCGUG